UAAUCGCAUAAAAAGGAACCUAACUUUUUAACAUCUUUCAGGCCGUUUUCAAUGGCCAUUUUUGGCGAUUUCAAGUGCUAUGAACUCCUAGGAUGACAAGCUUUUCAGAUGGGACCUGUGGUACUCCAUUUGGUGGCCGGAGGAAGGAGAUCCAACGAGUGAAAAAUGAGCGAGAAAAUGGGUCGCUGUGAGCUUUUCGGCUAUUUUCCAGUGAUCCAACUGUCAGAUCAGCUAUCCGAGACCACCAUUAAACUCAAAGCGAUGAAACCUUUAAGAUGGGACAAAUUCCGCUUCGAUCGGAUACCGUUUGGAAAAGACGAUCAUCGGACGGUUAAGAUCACUCAGUACAAUCGGA
RNAcentral lists this unclassified non-coding RNA (355 nucleotides) under Hevea brasiliensis (rubber tree). The record is from RNAcentral. Lineage: Eukaryota; Viridiplantae; Streptophyta; Magnoliopsida; Malpighiales; Euphorbiaceae.